GGUGUUUGCUACAGGACUGAAAGAA
RNAcentral lists this unclassified non-coding RNA (25 nucleotides) under Mus musculus (house mouse). RNAcentral's name for it is "oocyte_clustered_small_RNA455". Lineage: Eukaryota; Metazoa; Chordata; Mammalia; Rodentia; Muridae. The record is from RNAcentral.